RNAcentral lists this ribosomal RNA (504 nucleotides) under uncultured bacterium. Its description in RNAcentral is "partial 16S ribosomal RNA". It matches the Rfam family "Bacterial small subunit ribosomal RNA", at positions 29 to 523 of the family's 1533-position model. The record is from RNAcentral.
AUUGAACGCUGGCGGCAUGCCUUACACAUGCAAGUCGAACGGCAGCAUGGAGAGCUUGCUCUCUGAUGGCGAGUGGCGAACGGGUGAGUAAUGCAUCGGAACGUACCGUGUAAUGGGGGAUAACGUAGCGAAAGUUACGCUAAUACCGCAUACGACCUGAGGGUGAAAGCAGGGGAUCGCAAGACCUUGCGUUAUACGAGCGGCCGAUGUCAGAUUAGCUAGUUGGUGAGGUAAAGGCUCACCAAGGCGACGAACUGCAGCGAGUCUGAGAGGAUGAACCGCCAGACUGGGACGGAGACAGGGCCCAGGCUCCUACGGGACGCAGCAGUGGCGAAUUUUGGAAAAUGGGGGCGACCCUGAGACAGCUAUGCCGCGGGAGUAAAGUAGGCCUUCGGGUGGUAAAGCUCUUUCGGCCGGGAAGAAAUCGCAAAGGCUAAUACUCUGUGUAGAUGACGGUACCGGCAUAAGAAGCACCGGCUAACUACGUGCCAGCAGCCGCCGCCG